This 277-nucleotide ribosomal RNA is filed under the name uncultured diatom. Its description in RNAcentral is "partial 18S ribosomal RNA". It matches the Rfam family "Eukaryotic small subunit ribosomal RNA", at positions 598 to 888 of the family's 1831-position model. Lineage: Eukaryota; Bacillariophyta. The record is from RNAcentral.
CGUAUAUUAAAGUUGUUGCAGUUAAAAAGCUCGUAGUUGGAUUUGUGGUUGUGUUCAGGAGCCAUUUUUGGAUUCCUUGAACACGACCAUCUUUGGGAGGAAUUUGUGUGGCAUUAGCUUGUUGCACGGGGGAUACUCAACGUUUACUGUGAAAAAAUCAGCGCGUUCAAAGCAAGCUUAUGCUGUGAAUGUAUUAGCAUGGAAUAAUAAGAUAGGACCUUGGUACUAUUUUGUUGGUUUGUGCACCGAGGUAAUGAUUAAUAGGGACAGUUGGGGG